UGGGGAGCAAACAGGAUUAGAUACCCUGGUAGUCCACGCCGUAAACGAUGUCUACUUGGAGGUUGUGCCCUUGAGGCGUGGCUUCCGGAGCUAACGCGUUAAGUAGACCGCCUGGGGAGUACGGCCGCAAGGUUAAAACUCAAAUGAAUUGACGGGGGCCCGCACAAGCGGUGGAGCAUGUGGUUUAAUUCGAUGCAACGCGAAGAACCUUACCUGGUCUUGACAUCCACAGAAUUCUGCAGAGAUGCGGAAGUGCCUUCGGGAACUGUGAGACAGGUGCUGCAUGGCUGUCGUCAGCUCGUGUUGUGAAAUGUUGGGUUAAGUCCCGCAACGAGCGCAACCCUUAUCCUUUGUUGCCAGCGGUUAGGCCGGGAACUCAAAGGAGACUGCCAGUGAUAAACUGGAGGAAGGUGGGGAUGACGUCAAGUCAUCAUGGCCCUUACGACCAGGGCUACACACGUGCUACAAUGGCGCAUACAAAGAGAAGCGACCUCGCGAGAGCAAGCGGACCUCAUAAAGUGCGUCGUAGUCCGGAUUGGAGUCUGCAACUCGACUCCAUGAAGUCGGAAUCGCUAGUAAUCGUG
RNAcentral lists this ribosomal RNA (584 nucleotides) under Salmonella enterica. Its description in RNAcentral is "bacterial SSU rRNA". It matches the Rfam family "Bacterial small subunit ribosomal RNA", at positions 762 to 1346 of the family's 1533-position model. The record is from RNAcentral. Lineage: Bacteria; Pseudomonadati; Pseudomonadota; Gammaproteobacteria; Enterobacterales; Enterobacteriaceae.